UGCUAUACAUGCAAGUCGAGCGGAAGAAGGGAGCUUGCUCCCGGAUGUUAGCGGCGGACGGGUGAGUAACACGUGGGUAACCUGCCUGUAAGACUGGGAUAACUCCGGGAAACCGGAGCUAAUACCGGAUAGUUCCUUGAACCGCAUGGUUCAAGGAUGAAAGACGGUUUCGGCUGUCACUUACAGAUGGACCCGCGGCGCAUUAGCUAGUUGGUGAGGUAACGGCUCACCAAGGCGACGAUGCGUAGCCGACCUGAGAGGGUGAUCGGCCACACUGGGACUGAGACACGGCCCAGACUCCUACGGGAGGCAGCAGUAGGGAAUCUUCCGCAAUGGACGAAAGUCUGACGGAGCAACGCCGCGUGAGUGAUGAAGGUUUUCGGAUCGUAAAGCUCUGUUGUUAGGGAAGAACAAGUGCAAGAGUAACUGCUUGCACCUUGACGGUACCUAAUCAGAAAGCCACGGCUAACUACGUGCCAACACCCGCGGUAAUACGUAUGUGGCAAGCCUUGUCCGGAAUUAUUGGGCGUAAAGGGCUCGCAGGCGGUUUCUUANGUCUGAUGUGA
This 566-nucleotide ribosomal RNA is filed under the name Bacillus altitudinis. RNAcentral's name for it is "bacterial SSU rRNA". It matches the Rfam family "Bacterial small subunit ribosomal RNA", at positions 45 to 597 of the family's 1533-position model. The record is from RNAcentral. Lineage: Bacteria; Bacillati; Bacillota; Bacilli; Caryophanales; Bacillaceae.